This 1464-nucleotide long non-coding RNA is filed under the name Salmo salar (Atlantic salmon). RNAcentral describes it as "lncRNA (ENSSSAG00000089474.1)". Lineage: Eukaryota; Metazoa; Chordata; Actinopteri; Salmoniformes; Salmonidae. The record is from RNAcentral.
GGUAUUCCUUACACAUGUUCCAGGGCAGCUUGCCCCUUUCUCUUUUCUUCUAAUAUUCACCAGAUUCCCGGGAUUUUUUCUAAGGCAAAUCUCUGCUCGGGACACAGGCAAGAUUUUAAAAGGAGCGAGAGAUCCUAUCAUCAGUCAAUGCUGUGGACUGAGGAUAGUGUGGUGGGGGAUUUGAUGGGCCAGCCUGAGCUAUGGCUCAUGGGAAGAAGCCAGAGAAGAUCAUCAGAAUCCUGAGGCCCAGCCCUCUGUCCUGCCCUGGUCCCAUAGGAUCCACAGAAGAGUCUAAUGAAGGACCUCAUAAUGAAGGACCUCAGAAAGAAAAACCACAAGGUUUGAGGAGUAAGGGCCGUCCGCCCUGCCCUGGCCCCUUAUCCACAGGGGAACCCACUGAUGAAGGACCCCUGAGUCUGAGCAGCAAAGGUCCAACUGAAGAACCUCAUAAUGGGCCUCAGAGUCUGAAUAGUGAGGACCUUCCUCAGCACUCUCAGAGCACCAGCAUUGGAGAGCUGGACAAUAACAAUGAUGACAGGACCCCUGGGCCUGCAGCACCUGUCUCUGUCCCUGCUAGUGCAACACAGGCUCACCCAAACCAAGACCACAGUCACCUGACUCAGGCCCAGAACUACCCUCGGCAGCCAGAUGCCCAGGCCCAGGCCCAGGCCCAGGCCCAGGCCCAACCGCGACAGCCCCAGCAGCAUUGCAGAGAGAGUCCAACCAGCCCCAGUGCCACUCUUAACCAGCCGUGUAGGAUUAGUCCCUCCAGUUCACCUCUUCCUGUCCCUGCUACACCUAGUGUCUCCUCUGAGCUGUCGCUGAACCAGCCCGGUGACACCACCCUCCCUGACAGCAUGGAGGAUGAGGAGGAGGACAGCUGCUCAGAGUAUGACAACGUGGGUUCGGACGUGGAGGGUGUGGAGCAAGACAUUGAUCAGGUACUACAGGUGGAAGACCAGGGUAUGAAGGUGAGGUGUUACAAACACUAUCCUGAGCCUCAGGAUGGAAGCUAUGUAGAGAGUGAGGAUGGCAUCUAUGUGGAACACCAAGACAGAACCUACGUGGAACACCAAGACAGAACCUACGUGGAACACCGAGACAGAACCUACGUGGAACACCGAGACAGAACCUACGUGGAACACCAAGACAGAACCUACGUGGAAUGUGAAGACAGACCUUACAUAGAUCACAAAGAUGGAACCUAUGUAGAAGGUGAGGAUGGUACCUAUGUGGAGGGGAACAGCCUGGAGGGGGAUGGGAGCAGCACUGGACAAUGCAAACACACCAGGUCACUGUACGGACCUGAGUCUGAGGAAAUGGUUAUGUAUAAUGAAAGACUACGACAAGAGACAGAUACAAAUCUCUGUAGCUCUUCUGAGCAUCAGUUCAGUGACAAUCCAUGUCAUGCCCUCAAGGCUGGAGACGAGGAGGAGAAAGGGAAGGUGGAGGUGCACGAGGAGG